RNAcentral lists this ribosomal RNA (460 nucleotides) under uncultured bacterium. RNAcentral's name for it is "partial 16S ribosomal RNA". It matches the Rfam family "Bacterial small subunit ribosomal RNA", at positions 338 to 795 of the family's 1533-position model. The record is from RNAcentral.
ACUACGGGUGGCAGCAGGGAGGAAUAUUGGGCAAUGGGCGCGAGCCGGAACCAGCCAAGUAGCGGGAAGGAUGACAGCCCUACGGGGUGUAAACUUCUAUUAUAAAGGAAUAAAGUGAGGCACGUGUGCCUUUUUGUAUGUACUUUAUGAAUAAGGAUCGGCUAACUCCGUGCCAGCAGCCGCGGUAAUACGGUGGAUCCGAGCGUUAUCCGGAUUUAUUGGGUUUAAAGGGAGCGUAGUUGGGUUGUUAAGUCAGUUGUGAAAGUUUGCGGCUCAACCAUAAAAUUGCAAUUGAUACUGGCAGUCUUGAGUACAGUUGAGGUAGGCGGAAUUCGUGGUGUAGCGGUGUAAUGCUUAGAUAUCACGAAGAACUCCGAUUGCGAAGGCAGCUUACUAAACUGCCACUGACAUUGAUGCUCGAAAGUGUGGGUAUCAAACAGGAUUAGAUACCCUGGUAGUC